AUUGAACGCUGGCGGCAGGCCUAACACAUGCAAGUCGAGCGCGAAAGGCUUUCGGGCUGAGUAGAGCGGCGGACGGGUGAGUAACGCGUAGGAAUCUACCUGGUAGUGGGGGACAACUUGGGGAAACUCAAGCUAAUACCGCAUACGCCCUAUGGGGGAAAGUGGGGGGACCUUCGGGCCUCACGCUAUCGGAUGAGCCUGCGUAGGAUUAGCUAGUUGGUAGGGUAAAGGCCUACCAAGGCGACGAUCCUUAACUGGUCUGAGAGGAUGAUCAGUCACACUGGAACUGAGACACGGUCCAGACUCCUACGGGUGGCAG
RNAcentral lists this ribosomal RNA (319 nucleotides) under uncultured Pseudomonadota bacterium. Its description in RNAcentral is "bacterial SSU rRNA". It matches the Rfam family "Bacterial small subunit ribosomal RNA", at positions 30 to 351 of the family's 1533-position model. Lineage: Bacteria; Pseudomonadati; Pseudomonadota. The record is from RNAcentral.